This 288-nucleotide long non-coding RNA is filed under the name Hordeum vulgare. RNAcentral's name for it is "long non-coding RNA (HVUL_LNC014758)". Lineage: Eukaryota; Viridiplantae; Streptophyta; Magnoliopsida; Poales; Poaceae. The record is from RNAcentral.
AGAAGACGUGACAAGGAUGAGAGAUAUGGACGAUGAGGAUGACGAUGACGAUGAUGAUGAGUUGGAUUAACCGCAGCCUGUUGUGAGAAGAAAGAAGCUAGCUUCUAAGAGGGGGCGAGGCCACAAGCAGCGAUGAACGUUGAACUAGUAGUGUUGUUGGUGUUUGAACAUGUUGAACUAGUAGUUGUCAGUGUUUGAACAUGUUGAACUUAUUUGGCUAUGUGGGUGUUUUAAGUUGUGAACCAUUUGCACUAAUGCUAUGAAUUGUGUCUAUGUGGGUGUUUUAAG